GACAGAGGGUGCAAACGUUGUUCGGAAUUACUGGGCGUAAAGCGUGUGUAGGCGGUCUUGUAAGUCGGAUGUGAAAGCCCCGGGCUCAACCCGGGAAGUGCACUCGAUACUGCGAGACUUGAGUAUCGGAGAGGUUGGUGGAAUUCUCGGUGUAGAGGUGAAAUUCGUAGAUAUCGAGAGGAACACCGGUGGCGAAAGCGGCCAACUGGACGAAUACUGACGCUGAGACACGAAAGCGUGGGGAGCAAAC
Molecule: ribosomal RNA, 250 nt
Filed under: uncultured Labilithrix sp.
Lineage: Bacteria; Pseudomonadati; Myxococcota; Polyangiales; Labilitrichaceae
Description: partial 16S ribosomal RNA
Rfam family: Bacterial small subunit ribosomal RNA
Source: RNAcentral